GCCUGGCUGGCUCAGUCAGUAGAGCAUGUGAUUCUUGAUCUUCAGGUCAUGAAUUCGAGUUCCAUGUUGGGUG
Molecule: transfer RNA, 73 nt
Filed under: Canis lupus familiaris (dog)
Lineage: Eukaryota; Metazoa; Chordata; Mammalia; Carnivora; Canidae
Also listed under: 1 other name
Rfam family: tRNA
About the family: Transfer RNA (tRNA) molecules are approximately 80 nucleotides in length. Their secondary structure includes four short double-helical elements and three loops (D, anti-codon, and T loops).
Source: Rfam by way of RNAcentral